Molecule: ribosomal RNA, 122 nt
Filed under: Occultibambusa fusispora
Lineage: Eukaryota; Fungi; Ascomycota; Dothideomycetes; Pleosporales; Occultibambusaceae
Description: partial 18S ribosomal RNA
Source: RNAcentral
UCGAGAUGCGCCCGGGGGGAGCCGGGCUGGCGGGGACCUCGCGGGGUCCUAGCCGGCCAUGCCACCCCCGCGGCCGCGUGACCAGUAACUGUUCCGUAGGUGAACCUGCGGAAGGAUCAUUA